Molecule: transfer RNA, 51 nt
Filed under: Eriosema triformum
Lineage: Eukaryota; Viridiplantae; Streptophyta; Magnoliopsida; Fabales; Fabaceae
Description: partial tRNA-Gln
Source: RNAcentral
GGCAACGGGUUUUGGUCCCGCUUUUUGGGRGUUUGAAUCCUUCCGUUCCMG